This 497-nucleotide ribosomal RNA is filed under the name uncultured bacterium. RNAcentral's name for it is "partial 16S ribosomal RNA". It matches the Rfam family "Bacterial small subunit ribosomal RNA", at positions 28 to 507 of the family's 1533-position model. The record is from RNAcentral.
GAUGAACGCUGGCGGCGUGCCUAAUACAUGCAAGUCGAGCGAACGGACGAGAAGCUUGCUUCUCUGAUGUUAGCGGCGGACGGGUGAGUAACACGUGGAUAACCCACCUAUAAGACUGGGAUAACUUCGGGAAACCGGAGCUAAUACCGGAUAAUAUUUUGAACCGCAUGGUUCAAAAGUGAAAGACGGUCUUGCUGUCACUUAUAGAUGGAUCCGCGCUGCAUUAGAUAGUUGGUAAGGUAACGGCCUAUCAAGGCAACGAUGCAUAGCCGACCUUAGAGGGUGGUAGCCCGCACUGGAAGGUAACCUCCCUCAUGACUCCUGCGAGACGCCGCAGGAGGGGAUCGUCGGCAGUGGGAGAGAGCAUGGCAGAGUAGCGCCGCGCGAGUGAUGGAGAUCUUCGGUUCGUAAAACUCUGUUAUUAGGGAAAAACAUAUGUGUAAGUUAAUGUAGACAUAGUGACGGUACCUAAUCAGAAAGCCACGGCUAACUACGUG